GAUGAACGCUAGCGGCAGGCCUAACACAUGCAAGUCGAGGGGCAGCAUGGGGCAGCAAUGUCCCGAUGGCGACCGGCGCACGGGUGAGUAACACGUAUCCAACCUGCCCAUGACCAGGGAAUAACCCGCGGAAACGCGGCCUAAUGCCCUAUGUGCUCCGAAGAGGACAUCCGAUUUGGAGUAAAGAUUCAUCGGUCAUGGAUGGGGAUGCGUCCGAUUAGGUAGUAGGCGGGGCAACGGCCCACCUAGCCUGCGAUCGGUAGGGGUUCUGAGAGGAAGGUCCCCCACAUUGGAACUGAGACACGGUCCAAACUCCUACGGGAGGCAGCAGUGAGGAAUAUUGGUCAAUGGGCGAGAGCCUGAACCAGCCAAGUAGCGUGCAGGAUGACGGCCCUAUGGGUUGUAAACUGCUUUUAUGCGGGGAUAAAGUGCUCCACGUGUGGGGCAUUGCAGGUACCGCACGAAUAAGGACCGGCUAAUUCCGUG
RNAcentral lists this ribosomal RNA (486 nucleotides) under uncultured bacterium. RNAcentral's name for it is "bacterial SSU rRNA". It matches the Rfam family "Bacterial small subunit ribosomal RNA", at positions 28 to 507 of the family's 1533-position model. The record is from RNAcentral.